UGUCAAGGCACAAAUAGAAAA
Molecule: non-coding RNA, 21 nt
Organism: Caenorhabditis elegans
Lineage: Eukaryota; Metazoa; Nematoda; Chromadorea; Rhabditida; Rhabditidae
Source: Ensembl